UGUCGAGGAAAUCCUCGAUAAUUAACUGCAGCCGAUUUUCUAAAACUUUGGCAGUUAACUGCCGAGGGGCAU
Non-coding RNA from Medicago truncatula (barrel medic), 72 nucleotides. The record is from Rfam. Lineage: Eukaryota; Viridiplantae; Streptophyta; Magnoliopsida; Fabales; Fabaceae.